This 413-nucleotide ribosomal RNA is filed under the name uncultured Prevotella sp. RNAcentral describes it as "bacterial SSU rRNA". It matches the Rfam family "Bacterial small subunit ribosomal RNA", at positions 114 to 525 of the family's 1533-position model. Lineage: Bacteria; Pseudomonadati; Bacteroidota; Bacteroidia; Bacteroidales; Prevotellaceae. The record is from RNAcentral.
CGCGUAUCCAACCUUCCCAUAACUACGGGAUAACCCGUUGAAAGACGGCCUAAUACCGUAUGACAUCGUUUGCUGACAUCAAAUAACGAUAAAAGGUUUAGCGGUUAUGGAUGGGGAUGCGUCUGAUUAGCUUGUUGGCGGGGUAACGGCCCACCAAGGCUACGAUCAGUAGGGGUUCUGAGAGGAAGGUCCCCACAUUGGAACUGAGACACGGUCCAAACUCCUACGGGAGGCAGCAGUGAGGAAUAUUGGUCAAUGGGCGAGAGCCUGAACCAGCCAAGUAGCGUGCAGGAUGACGGCCCUAUGGGUUGUAAACUGCUUUUAUGUGGGAAUAAAGUGCGUGACGUGUCAUGCAUUGCAGGUACCACAUGAAUAAGGACCGGCUAAUUCCCGUGCCAGCAGCCGCGGUAAAU